Molecule: ribosomal RNA, 510 nt
Filed under: Arthrobacter sp. ARE_As27_5
Lineage: Bacteria; Bacillati; Actinomycetota; Actinomycetes; Micrococcales; Micrococcaceae
Description: bacterial SSU rRNA
Rfam family: Bacterial small subunit ribosomal RNA
Source: RNAcentral
GGUAUACCUGGAGACAGGUGCCCCGCUUGCGGUCGGUUUACAGGUGGUGCAUGGUUGUCGUCAGCUCGUGUCGUGAGAUGUUGGGUUAAGUCCCGCAACGAGCGCAACCCUCGUUCUAUGUUGCCAGCACGUGAUGGUGGGGACUCAUAGGAGACUGCCGGGGUCAACUCGGAGGAAGGUGGGGACGACGUCAAAUCAUCAUGCCCCUUAUGUCUUGGGCUUCACGCAUGCUACAAUGGCCGGUACAAAGGGUUGCGAUACUGUGAGGUGGAGCUAAUCCCAAAAAGCCGGUCUCAGUUCGGAUUGGGGUCUGCAACUCGACCCCAUGAAGUCGGAGUCGCUAGUAAUCGCAGAUCAGCAACGCUGCGGUGAAUACGUUCCCGGGCCUUGUACACACCGCCCGUCAAGUCACGAAAGUUGGUAACACCCGAAGCCGGUGGCCUAACCCCUUGUGGGAGGGAGCUGUCGAAGGUGGGACUGGCGAUUGGGACUAAGUCGUAACAAGUUAAC